GACGAACGCUGGCGGCGUGCUUACCACAUGCAAGUCGAACGGAAAGGCCCAGCUUCCGGGGGGUGCUCGCGGGGCGAAGGGGUGAGAAAAACGUGAGCUACCUGCCCUUGUGUCUGGGAUAACUUCUGGAAAAUGGGGCCAAUACCGGCCAGGAGCCUUACCCGCGAGGUGGGGGCUGGAACGUUUCGGCGGUGGGGGAUGGCCUCGAGGCGUUUGAGCUUGCUGGUGGGGUAGUGGCUUACCAAGGCUUUGACGGGUAGCCGGCCGGUGAUGGUGACCGGCCCCAUUGGGGCUGAGAUGCGGCCCAGGCUCCUACUGGAGGCAGCAGUGGGGAAGAUUGCACAAUGGGCGGGAGCCUGAUGCGGCAACGCCGCGUGCCGGAUGACGGCCUGCGAGUUGUAUGCCGCUUUCGCCUGUGACGAAGCGUGAGUGACGGUAAUGGGUAAAGAAGCACCGGCUAACUACGUG
Molecule: ribosomal RNA, 468 nt
Filed under: uncultured bacterium
Lineage: Bacteria
Description: partial 16S ribosomal RNA
Rfam family: Bacterial small subunit ribosomal RNA
Source: RNAcentral